RNA transcript from Daucus carota subsp. sativus, 2402 nucleotides. RefSeq lists it as hypothetical. The transcript has 6 exons. Lineage: Eukaryota; Viridiplantae; Streptophyta; Magnoliopsida; Apiales; Apiaceae. The record is from RefSeq and is a predicted model, not a curated record.
UUGAAGCUGCUAAUGGUGCUCCUACAAAGCCGAGAGAUGUCCACUGAACUAAAACAUAUGUGAUGCCUAUAUGAAUGAUUGAGGGGAUCACAGAACAAACAACCAGCGGAAUGACCACAGACUGUGUCUGGAGAAACCUCAAGAUGUUAUGCAGGACUUGCUCUUAGAUUUGGUAUGGGGUUGUAUGUUUAUGCACUAAAAUGAGUACAACACCAACUGGGUCUAGUUCAACAGCUGGUUCUUGGUUUUCAGGCAUUGUACGAGGUCGUUUUGAUAAGUCUUCUACUAGUCCGAAAAUGGCCAACAAUUCAGCAGAAUUCACUGGAACUAAUGCGGGCCCAGUUAAUAAGAAGAAGCAGUUUCAAGGGGUUAUGUUUAAGUAUGGUCCCAAGUCCAUUCAGGUUGCCUUUAAAACUGGUGACUAUAAACAGCAAGCUAUAUUUAUUGGCGGGCUGACAGAUGGAUUUUUGGCUACCGAUUACUUGGAACCUCUUGCUAUUGCUCUUGACAAAGAGAAAUGGUCACUAGUCCAGUUUCUGCUCUCCUCUUCUUACACUGGAUAUGGCCUGUCAAGUUUAAAAGAAGAUGCUAUGGAGCUUGAUCAAUUGAUUAGUUACUUCAUAAAUAAAGAAGAUUCUGAGGGUGUGGUCCUGAUUGGACAUAGUACUGGCUGUCAGGAUAUUGUGCAUUACAUGCGGACGAAUUUUGCAUGUUCUAGAGCAGUCCGCGGAGCCAUUUUACAGGUGUGCACCUGUUUAAAAUUUUGUUGCUUUUACAUGUUUCAGCUAAUUGCCCGUUCUACAUUUUUCUUGGCGUGUUUAUAUCGAUUUUGGCUUUUAAUUUGUGCUUUCAGUGCUUCUAUUAAUCUUUAGUGUUUAAAAGAUUAACAAAUGCAAGGUUCUCAUGCUCCUGCAAUUAAAAGAAUUUUUUUGAAAGGAAUGUGUAAUUGUUGACACCCAUCUUGCAUUUUUAUAUGAAUCACAUGCUUGGUAAUUGUGUUUAGAUAUAGACCAUGCAGAGUUUCCCAUGGUAAAUUAUAGCAGUAAUAUAAGUAAAGUCAAAUUUGCAUCUCACCCCUAACUAGACACUAAACUUGCAUAAUUAGGCAUUAGUCCAACAAAGUAGUACUUAAAUUGAAUUACAGAGAUAAAAAUCAUAAAAUUAUCUAUCAAAUCCACAAGGUACUGAGUCUACUGACUUUUAUUAUAAAUAAAAUGAUUAUUAAGCUGGUCUUCCCUGAGUGUUAAUAUUUCAAAGACAGAGAAACAAAGUCAAAACCCGUUUCAGAUUAUUGUUCACGAGUAUUAUCUACAAUUAACUGAAAAUUUUGCUUAACACUACUCACUUACUCAAUAAUAAUUAAAUAACUUAAAAAACUAAGAUAAGUAAAAGACAUAAUUAAACUUACAAGAAAAGAGCAAAAAAUUAGAGAAGAAAACUUAUAAACUUCAAUGUUGUCACAUGAAAAAUAUAUUAAUUAAAAAUCCAAAUCAGUGCAAAACACAAUUAUAUAUGGAAAUAAAAUCAUAUAACAUAUAUAUAAAUAUAUAUUCUAUCAUUAAUCAAUCAAAAAGAAAUGGUGAAACAAUGGAGGAUGUUCAUUUCAUUGAGAAAAAUUUUCAUUCUUUAGAUUCCAAAUUUGAGUACAAUAUUGUAGCCAUCGAAUAAUCUAAAGAUAUAAGCAAAAUAUCACUGAUGAACUUACACAUUGAUAAACUUACACGCUGGUUACAAGCCCAUGAAUAAAGAUUGAACACGAAAAAGAUUGAAGUAUCAUUAGACAUUUCAGUCAAAACUCUUCUUCGAUGAAAAAACCCACAUUGUAAAGAAUAUGAAGGGGAUUGUAGUCGCGAAGCAGGAAGAAGUUUUAAGGGAAGAGGCUCAAGUUCUCGUGGGAGAGACUAUUACUAAGAAUUUUUUUGAGAUUUAUUAUGUUCCUGGACUAAAAAAUAAUUUACUUAUUGUUGGUCACCUUUUGAGAAAAAUAUAAUGACAUUCAAAUGAGACAUUUUUCAAAUGCUUUAACGGCAGAUCAUAGAGGAGAAUAUUUUUCAAAUGAGUUUAAGAAAUAUUACAAACAUAGUGGUAUUCGAUACAAAAUAACAAUCCGUUACACGCCACAAGAGAAAAGAAUGUUUGACUCUGUAAGAUUUGUCUAUCCAGAAACUGUGAGGGGAAGGUUAAACUCCCUGACACGUAUGACAACCUUUCUCAUCCUGAACUACUUUUGAUCCGGCUCAACUUUGUAUUAGUUUCGAGUUUUAAUGUAAGAAUCUAUAGGAAGCACAUGGAGAUCGAAGAUUUUCCGGCAUGUUUUAGCCCAUUUGGUCGAGCUCAAAGGAGGCGUUCGAUCUUCAGUUUGGAAGAAGAAUGAUGUACAAUCAAGAAAUGAUGCUGAGAAG